RNAcentral lists this long non-coding RNA (811 nucleotides) under Gadus morhua (Atlantic cod). RNAcentral's name for it is "lncRNA (ENSGMOG00000034592.1)". Lineage: Eukaryota; Metazoa; Chordata; Actinopteri; Gadiformes; Gadidae. The record is from RNAcentral.
AUAGAGUGUCUGCUGCUGCUGCUGCUGCUGUCGUUUUUUGCCUAGUAAGGGCCUGGAGGAGGAGGUUGUUCUGCCUCACCAAGGCCUUCAACUCCUCCACAGCACGCAGGAGUGCAUGAUCCCGUUCUACAGGACAGAAAAACAUCAUGACUGUCAUGUCAAGAGGUGCUCCUGGUUUGGGCUUUUUUCUGGUUCAUACGCGCUGCAUCAUAAUUGGCUGUUGAAGACAACAAUGAAUUCUCAUCUGGCAUAGCGCUUUGGAUGACUGCAAUUUUCGUCCGCUUGGUGUCUUUAUACGGUGGCCAAAAAGACACCUUGCCGUCCAAACUUAGCCACGAGCAAGGCACAACCUCCACCUCAUUUGACUCGGUUCCCAACCACAGCUGUCCCCAGUGCAGUUGAAUCAACAGGGUGGUUGAAAAAUGGACGUUGGUCUAAAUAUUGCCUCGCCACAAAAGACGUACCACCAAGUGUCCUGCUAAUUGCCUCUAUUUUAAAAGUGGCACCACCACACGAAACUGUGUUGUUCCCAUCCUUUGUGGACAGGGUAAAUCUAUCAGUGGCGUACUGUGUUGUUGAGGGUGAACUUUGGUUAUGGGAAGAUGGACAGACUGGGUUGAUGCUUGAUUUUUCCGUUAAUCGUUUAACAAUUUGUUGUAAUGUCUGGUUUGGCUUUCUAAUUAGUUUCUUUAAUUUAUACAAGAAAUUUUCGAAGGGAAAGGCAGAAAUUUGGGGUAGUGGGCCAUAUUUUCUAACAUCACUUGCCAGGUGGAUCAAGCUGUGGACGUUAUACACCAGAAAGUCCCCAUAG